UACGGGGGGGGCAAGCGUUGUUCGGAAUUACUGGGCGUAAAGGGCUCGUAGGCGGCCAACUAAGUCGGACGUGAAAUCCCCAGACUCAACCUGGGAACUGCGUCCGAUACUGGAUGGCUUGAAUCCGGGAGAGGGAUGCAGAAUUCCAGGUGUAGCGGUGAAAUGCGUAGAUAUCUGGAGGAAUACCGGUGGCGAAGGCGGCAUCCUGGACCGGCAUUGACGCUGAGGAGCGAAAGCCAGGGGAGCAAACGGG
RNAcentral lists this ribosomal RNA (253 nucleotides) under uncultured bacterium. RNAcentral describes it as "partial 16S ribosomal RNA". It matches the Rfam family "Bacterial small subunit ribosomal RNA", at positions 524 to 776 of the family's 1533-position model. The record is from RNAcentral.